AGUGAACGCUGGCGGUAGGCCUAACACAUGCAAGUCGAACGGCAGCACAGUAAGAGCUUGCUCUUACGGGUGGCGAGUGGCGGACGGGUGAGGAAUACAUCGGAAUCUACUUUUUCGUGGGGGAUAACGUAGGGAAACUUACGCUAAUACCGCAUACGACCUACGGGUGAAAGCAGGGGAUCUUCGGACCUUUCGCGAUUGAAUGAGCCGAUGUCGGAUUAGCUAGUUGGCGGGGUAAAGGCCCACCAAGGCGACGAUCCGUAGCUGGUCUGAGAGGAUGAUCAGCCACACUGGAACUGAGACACGGUCCAGACUCCUACGGGAGGCAGCAGUGGGGAAUAUUGGACAAUGGGCGCAAGCCUGAUCCAGCCAUACCGCGUGGGUGAAGAAGGCCUUCGGGUUGUAAAGCCCUUUUGUUGGGAAAGAAAAGCAGCAUGUUAAUACCCCGCUGUUCUGACGGUACCCAAAGAAUAAGCACCGGCUAACUUCGUG
This 492-nucleotide ribosomal RNA is filed under the name uncultured bacterium. RNAcentral describes it as "partial 16S ribosomal RNA". It matches the Rfam family "Bacterial small subunit ribosomal RNA", at positions 29 to 507 of the family's 1533-position model. The record is from RNAcentral.